This 273-nucleotide unclassified non-coding RNA is filed under the name fungal sp. RNAcentral describes it as "partial internal transcribed spacer region". The stretch from base 1 to 46 matches the Rfam family "Eukaryotic small subunit ribosomal RNA", at positions 1786 to 1831 of the family's 1831-position model. Lineage: Eukaryota; Fungi. The record is from RNAcentral.
AAGUCGUAACAAGGUUUCCGUAGGUGAACCUGCGGAAGGAUCAUUAUUGAUUUUUAAAGGAUGUGCUGGCGUCCCUACCCGGGUUGCAUGGUGCACUCCUCACAAAAACCGAUAUUCCCACACCUGUGCAUCCUCAGUAGGCGAAAAAGGGACCUUUUGUGUUCCUCUUUGUCUAUGUUCUCUUUUAUUGCAAACACUUGAUUCAUUUGAAUGAUCUUUUUGUGAAAACACACAAUUGUAAUACAACUUUCAACAAUGGAUCUCUUGGUUCUC